Anolis carolinensis (green anole) is the source of this 3698-nucleotide long non-coding RNA. RefSeq lists it as uncharacterized. The record is from RefSeq and is a predicted model, not a curated record. The transcript is spliced from 3 exons. Lineage: Eukaryota; Metazoa; Chordata; Lepidosauria; Squamata; Anolidae.
AUGGGUGGAGCCAGGGAGCCAGGAAAUUCUUUUUCAGUUAGUGUUUGGAAAUCAACCAGUUAGGAGUUGGUUUUUAGAAUUCACUCAGUUGGAACCGUGUUUUAAAAGGAAUCCUUUUUGAGGAAAUAUAGUUAAAUUCUUCAGGAAAGGAAGGACUGAGAACUAUAUUUGUGAGCUCUAUAGUCUAGAGUAUUGUUGUUUAAAUCCCAGGAAAAGUGGAUUUAAAAGUAAAUUGUCCUGAUUGUGUUUCCUUGGUGUAGGAACUGUUGCACCCCUAGACUGCUGAGACACCUCAAAACCACACUGGAGCCCCAUACUAUAAGCAAAGCAAGUUUUACUGAAGAAUAUAUGUAAGCAAUAGCAAAUCAAAGUUCAGAGUCAAUGAAACAAGGUUUUAGUCCACCAGGUACAAGAUAGUUGAGAGUCUUGAAGUAAAAGUCCAUGGAAAUUAAACACAAGAAUAUACUUCAACAAGGUAUCAAAAUUAGUCCAAGGAACAGAAACAAAAUUGGAACAGAGAACAGGAUGUUUAACUGGAACAAGGGAUCCAAACUGCAAAUCCUUCAGGAACAAUGACUGGAUAAUCCAAAAUUCCCCAAGAACAAGGACUGAAACAAAACUCAAGAAACAAGGCUACACGAACUUGGCAUGAAAGUCCACAGGAACAUGAAACAGGAUUCUAUGAAGCAUGAAACAUAGGUUCAUAAACAAUAACAACACUCUUGAAUCUAGAAAGGUAACAUUCUUCUAUGGAAAGUAUGAACAAACUUGGUGGUGGUGUCUAUGGCUAAAUAGGCAUUUCAGCAGUUAUGGAGUUGAUGAGAGUCUGCUAUGAUUGAUGUAUCACAGGACCAAUGGGGUCAAGUUUGUUUUGACCGGGACUUUCUUUCCUGUUCCUGUGGAAUGCAGAGGAGUGUCUUCAGAUCAGAAGGUAGAGCGGCGAAGAGCAGUGUGCUGUGUGCAUGAGUCGCUUCGGCAAGCACUCAUGGAGAGAAAGACUGAUUUACUCUAUUUUGUAUAUAGUCUUGUAAAUAAAAGUUGAUUGCCGUUGGAUUUUCCAACCGAACCCUCAUCUGCUGGAGUGUGUUUGUCCAGUGCUGUUUUUCCACACCGGGAGACAGUCUGGAGAGAAGGAGGUGACGACCGGGAUGGUGAAUUUUUGGAUUUCACUCUGCUACCCAUCAUUCCCGCUGACAGUUAGAAGGUCCAGCAUUUUCAAAGAUGGGUUAAACAAAUUUAUAAUAAGCAAAGUGCUCAAAUGUUGAUCAACAAGGAACUGACUAAAUCUUGAGAAAUACAGAAAGAGACUAGACAAGGCUGUUUCUGUUGGUUAUACAGGUUUUCAAUAACAACAUAAAAAAGCAGAAGAUAUCAAAGAAGUAAAGAUAACAUGACAAAAUUAUAAGUUUGAAAGCUUUUAACAGUGAUUUUUAAAGGACCCUUUGAAUAGAAGGCCCCAUCCCUUCUGGAGUUCAGAAAAAAACUGAAGACCUGGCUAUGUACGCAGGCAUUUGAAGAAUAAGCAUGUGUUGGCUUCGACGCGGUCUGAAUUAUGGCUCUUGUAUAAAGUCUGGUGGAUGAAUGGCAUAAGCACUUAGCAUUGUUUUAAACUUUGUAUAUUUUAUUUUAUGACUGUUUUAACUGUUUUAACGUUUUAGUUCCCUGUAUAUCAGUGUAACGGCAUCAAUUGCCACUUCUAAGCCGCCCUGAGUCCCCUCGGGUGAGAAGGGCGGGAUAUAAAUAAUUGAAAUAAAUAAAUAAAUAAAUAUAAGAAGAAAUCUGAACCUUAUCCUGAAAGAAUAUGGAAGAGUAUCAGGAUUUAAAAUUAAUAAGGAGAAAACAACCAUGUUGACCAAGAGCAUAAAAAAGGGAAUAGAAACCCUUAUCUGAGAAAUUGGGUUUUCAAGCUGUACAAAAAAUUAAAUAUUGGGGUAUUAAUAUUUCUGUUAAAAACUCAAACCUGUUUAAUGACAAUUAUGAUUUAAUAUGAAAAUAAGUUAAAAUAUUUACAUAGAUGGAAAGGUCUGCAGCUAUCACUUAUAGAUAGAAUUUCAGCUAUAAAGAUGAAUGUAUGAUCAAAGUUGCUGUUAUUGUUUCAAGCCUUGCCAAUCAUACUGAAUGAUACCCCUAUUUAAACAAUGGCAAAAAGACCUAUCAACAUUUAUUUGGCAAAGAAAAAGUCCAAGGGUCAGAUUCAAAGUAUUAAAAGACAGAGAGAUAGUCUGUCAGGGAGUGGAGUGUGAGGAGAAAGAAGUGUUUGGAGCUGGUAGAAAAGAAGCUCUGUGAGGAGGAAAGUUAAAAAUAGUCUUCGGGAAGAAGUGCUAUAUAUUGUAGAGAGCCUCUAAGGAACAGAGUGCUUAUGUUAAGAGCCUCUGGAAGGGAGGACUGCGGGGUUAUUGGAAAGCCUGAUUUGUUCUCUUGUGAGGGAACAUAGUUCUAAGAAAGACAAGUUAAAGAACCAUUUUCUUUUAAGUAACCAGCUUGUUAAUCUUCUGUAACCACUACUCAACCAUCUUGUUUUAGUUCAAAUAAACUUCACAAAUCUGUUUUUACUUCACCACAAGUAUUCAGCGUGUCUUUCUGUGCAUCAAUAUAAGGAGGAGGCCUGUCUGCAUAUUAGCCAUCACUCUUUGAGUCAGAUUUUCCCUUCAUUUUUUGAGUGGCUCUAUGAACUGACUCCGGUGGUCAGUGGGAUAUAUGCUAAAAUUGAUGGCAGUGGUGGCACAUAUGUAAAACUAUACAUGAUAACAGCAGCAAUAAUUAUCUAUGCUCAAAGAUGGAAAGACUCAAUAUUCCACCACAAGAAAAUUUGCUUAUGAAAAUUAGAGAACUUGCAGAAAUAGAUUAUCAUACUAUUUUAAUUAAACUGAGAUCUCUAACUAACUUUAAGGAAGACUGGAGCCCAUUCAUUCCUCGUCCUCCGGCAAAGAUGGGGUGAAACCUCAAUCACUGCAUUUUGGAUUAGAAGAGUGUCAUUAUGUGUAGAAAAAUUGUAUCAAUAGUUCUUUUUCAUUUAAUGGGUGUAAAAAUUGAGAGAAUAUUACCACUAGACAGAGAAUGUAAAGCUCUCAGAUACAGAUAAUGUAGAUUAUAUGUACUUAAUAUUUUGUGAUGUAUAGAAUGGAAUAGUAUUAAUAUGUUUUGUUUUAUUCUAGAAAAAUAUUUUAACUUUGCUUUUGUUUGUUUAUUUCUAUAUUGGUACAGUGGAACCUCUCCUUAAGAGCAUCCCAAUUUAUGAGUAUUUUGAGUUGAGAUGGCGCUAGAAUGAUAGUACAGGACUUUAGGGCUUCAAGAGAACAGCCUUAGUGCCUCGUACUCCAUGUCUCGUACUCUUUUGGAGAUUGCUGUCCAGUUUGCUCUUGUCAGCUUUGAAAAACUUUGGGUCAGUUAUAAAGUAUAGUUUCCUAUUUAAAAGCACCUAACAAAAAAUAGGGGGAGGCAGUUCAGAAGACUGUAACGGAUCAAUAGCAUUUCAAUGGGAAAUUUUGCUUUAAGAUAAGAUCAUUUUGAGUUAAGAACUUGGUCACAGAACAAAGUAAACUUUUAAAUCAAGGUAUCACAAUAUAUAGGUUUUGUAUUAAUUUGUCUAAACAAAAGCUAUUUAAAAAAAAAGGUCCAGCAUUCUCAUUUCCUAUAUCUAUAUCUAUAUCUAGACACACACACACAAACACACACACUGUUAAGCAUACACACCAAUA